This is a non-coding RNA of Cinara cedri, 458 nucleotides long. NCBI's taxonomy places the organism in Eukaryota, Metazoa, Arthropoda, Insecta, Hemiptera, Aphididae. The record is from the annotation of a GenBank genome assembly.
CACAUAUUAAAAAAACUACAAGGAAAAUCAAAAAAAAUGACUUUAAAAAUUUAUAAAUAUCUUUAUAAACCUAUUGUAUUCAUCGCUCCACACUAAAUCCAAUUUCCCCUGUGUUUAAUUCGGUUUUAUAUGUUUUUCCUGGUUUUUUACAUUUGCUGGAAAAACUCCUUGGAAAAUCGAUAAUAUUAUCUCUUUAAAGUACCUCCCCAGUCUGACGUCCUUUAAGAAUAAGUAGUAUCAUGGUAAAUCGGUGUAAAAUUACUAGUAGAAAAGUUUUACCCAGAAAAAAAAUGAAGGCCGUAAUAUUUUUUUACUAAUACCUACAUUUUGUACAUUUUCCGUUUUUCCGUAUAAGCUACACGUUGUACAACGGAGCAAGAUUCUUGGUAGAAAAGUUUGUACAAAAAGUUGACAUAUAUUUUGCGAUUAAAAACGUACGUAGUCCGUACGAGCGAUGA